GUCUACAGCCAUACCACCCUGAACACGCCCGAUCUUGUCUGAUCUUGAAAGCUAAGCAGGGUCAAGCCUGGUUAGUACUUAGAUGGCAGAAAGAAAAAAAUUGCCAUUAUUU
This 112-nucleotide ribosomal RNA is filed under the name Fukomys damarensis (Damara mole-rat). The record is from RNAcentral. Lineage: Eukaryota; Metazoa; Chordata; Mammalia; Rodentia; Bathyergidae.